GUAGGGAGCAAGCGUUGUUCGGAAUUAUUGGGCGUAAAGAGCGCGUUGGCGGCCAGGUAAGUCUGAUGUGAAAUCCCACAGCUCAACUGUGGAACUGCAUUGGAAACUGCUUGGCUAGAGUGCGGGAGAGGAGAGUGGAAUUCCCAGUGUAGAGGUGAAAUUCGUAGAUAUUGGGAGGAACACCAGUGGCGAAGGCGGCUCUCUGGACCGCAACUGACGCUGAGGCGCGAAAGCUAGGGGAGCGAACGGGAUUAGAUACCCCGGUAGUCCUAGCCGUAAACGAUGGGCACUAGGUGUGGGAGGUAUCGACCCCUUCUGUGCCGCAGCUAACGCAUUAAGUGCCCCCGCCUGGGGAUACGGUCGCAAGCUA
Molecule: ribosomal RNA, 370 nt
Filed under: uncultured organism
Description: partial 16S ribosomal RNA
Rfam family: Bacterial small subunit ribosomal RNA
Source: RNAcentral